CAGUCGCCGCGGUAAUACGUAGGGUGCAAGCGUUAAUCGGAAUUACUGGGCGUAAAGCGUGCGCAGGCGGUUCGCUAAGACAGAUGUGAAAUCCCCGGGCUUAACCUGGGAACUGCAUUUGUGACUGGCGGGCUAGAGUAUGGCAGAGGGGGGUAGAAUUCCAUGUGUAGCAGUGAAAUGCGUAGAGAUGUGGAGGAAUACCGAUGGCGAAGGCAGCCCCCUGGGCCAAUACUGACGCUCAUGCACGAAAGCGUGGGGAGCAAAUAGGAUUAGAUACCCCCGUAGUCCCUGUCUCUUAUAC
This 301-nucleotide ribosomal RNA is filed under the name uncultured bacterium. RNAcentral's name for it is "partial 16S ribosomal RNA". It matches the Rfam family "Bacterial small subunit ribosomal RNA", at positions 509 to 807 of the family's 1533-position model. The record is from RNAcentral.